Molecule: ribosomal RNA, 274 nt
Filed under: uncultured bacterium
Lineage: Bacteria
Description: partial 16S ribosomal RNA
Rfam family: Bacterial small subunit ribosomal RNA
Source: RNAcentral
CGCCCGCCGGCGACCGGCGCACGGGUGAGUAACACGUAUGCAACCUGGCCGCCACAGGGGGAUAACCCGCGGAAACGCGGCCUAAUACCCCGUGACGCCACCGGAGGGCAUCCUCCGGUGGCCAAAGGAGCGAUCCGGUGGCGGAUGGGCAUGCGGCGCAUUAGCUAGACGGCGGGGUGACGGCCCACCGUGGCGACGAUGCGUAGGGGUUCUGAGAGGAAGGCCCCCCCCACUGGGACUGAGACACGGCCCAGACUCCUACGGGAGGCAGCAG